RNAcentral lists this ribosomal RNA (789 nucleotides) under uncultured Ascomycota. RNAcentral describes it as "LSU rRNA". It matches the Rfam family "Eukaryotic large subunit ribosomal RNA", at positions 399 to 1208 of the family's 3401-position model. Lineage: Eukaryota; Fungi; Ascomycota. The record is from RNAcentral.
GUGAAAUUGUUGAAAGGGAAGCGCUUGCAGCCAGACUUGCCUGUAGUUGCUCAUCCGGACUUUUGUCCGGUGCACUCUUCUAUAGGCAGGCCAGCAUCAGUUUGGGCGGUUGGAUAAAGGUCUCUGUCAUGUACCUCCUUUCGGGGAGGCCUUAUAGGGGAGACGACAUGCAACCAGCCUGGACUGAGGUCCGCGCAUUUAUGCUAGGAUGCUGGCGUAAUGGCUGUAAGCGGCCCGUCUUGAAACACGGACCAAGGAGUCUAACAUCUAUGCGAGUGUUUGGGUGUCAAGCCCGAACGCGUAAUGAAAGUGAACGGAGGUGGGAACCCUUUAGGGUGCACCAUCGACCGAUCCUGAUGUCUUCGGAUGGAUUUGAGUAAGAGCAUGGCUGUUGGGACCCGAAAGAUGGUGAACUAUGCUUGAAUAGGGUGAAGCCAGAGGAAACUCUGGUGGAGGCUCGCAGCGGUUCUGACGUGCAAAUCGAUCGUCAAAUUUGGGCAUAGGGGCGAAAGACUAAUCGAACUAUCUAGUAGCUGGUUCCUGCCGAAGUUUCCCUCAGGAUAGCAGUAACGUAUUCAGUUUUAUGAGGUAAAGCGAAUGAUUAGAGGCCUGGGGGUUGAAACAACCUUCACCUAUUCUCAAACUUUAAAUAUGUAAGAAGUCCUUGUUACUUAAUUGAACGUGGACACUUGAAUGUACCGUUACUAGUGGGCCAUUUUUGGUAAGCAGAACUGGCGAUGCGGGAUGAACCGAACGCGGGGUUAAGGUGCCAGAAUGCACGCUCAUCAG